Molecule: non-coding RNA, 330 nt
Organism: Vicia faba (fava bean)
Lineage: Eukaryota; Viridiplantae; Streptophyta; Magnoliopsida; Fabales; Fabaceae
Source: the annotation of a GenBank genome assembly
AUGGGAAUUGCUUCAAUUCUUGUGAGGUGUGGAAAUAGGUUUGGUUUUGUGCAUGUUGGUGUUUAUAAUAAAGGGUUUGUGCAAAGUUCUUGUGAUGUAUGGGACACUUUCAAUAGGGUUGGAUUGGUGCAACUUGUAGAUUUGGAUCUUACUGGAUCAUUUUGUUUUCUUAGUGGUGUGGUAGGGGGUGCAAUAAGUAGUUUGGUGGGUGGAAUUUGGAGUAUUGUGGUGUAUAAGAAAUAUGCAACUGAAGUGUCUAUUUAUGGAUUCUUAAUUGGAUACUUUAUGGUUAGAUUGGGUUUGGCAGGGUUGCAUAGAACUCAAGUUUAG